GGGCCAGUGGCUAAGCCAGGUAUAGCGACAGUGUAUACAGAACUGCUCUGUGUACGUUGAAGCUCUUAACUUGUAGAUGCUGGGGUUUCCCCAGACUCGAGGAAUGGUCAGGGGUUCUUGGCUUUUGAUUUCCAAAGGCCAGCCCAAAAAUCCCCUCUGGCCCGCCA
Molecule: transfer RNA, 167 nt
Filed under: Promethearchaeota archaeon
Lineage: Archaea; Promethearchaeati; Promethearchaeota
Description: Candidatus Lokiarchaeota archaeon (microbial mat metagenome) tRNA-Lys
Source: RNAcentral